Molecule: ribosomal RNA, 458 nt
Filed under: uncultured bacterium
Lineage: Bacteria
Description: partial 16S ribosomal RNA
Rfam family: Bacterial small subunit ribosomal RNA
Source: RNAcentral
CCUACGGGCGGCUGCAGUGGGGAAUAUUGCACAAUGGGGGAAACCCUGAUGCAGCGACGCCGCGUGAGUGAAGAAGUAAUUCGUUACGUAAAGCUCUAUCAGCAGGGAAGAAACACUGACCUUACGGUCAGCAGACGGUACCUGAGUAAGAAGCCCCGGCUAACUACGUGCCCGCAGCAGCGGUAAUACGUAGGGGGCAAGCGUUAUCCGGAUUUACUGGGUGUAAAGGGAGCGUAGACGGUGCGGCAAGUCAGUUGUGAAAUGCCGCAGUUUAACUGUGGAACUGCUUUGGAAACUGGCGAACUAGAGUGCGGGAGGGGUAAGCGGAAUUCCUGGUGUAGCGGUGAAAUGCGUAGAUAUUAGGAGGAACACCGGUGGCGAAGGCGGCUUACUGGACCGUAACUGACGUUGAGGCUCGAAAGCGUGGGGAGCAAACAGGAUUAGAUACCCGAGUAGUC